AAAGCGCACGUAGGCGGCUUUGUAAGUAAGAGGUGAAAGCCCAGAGCUCAACUCUGGAAUUGCCUUUUAGACUGCAUCGCUUGAAUCAUGGAGAGGUCAGUGGAAUUCCGAGUGUAGAGGUGAAAUUCGUAGAUAUUCGGAAGAACACCAGUGGCGAAGGCGGCUGACUGGACAUGUAUUGACGCUGAGGUGCGAAAGCGUGGGGAGCAAACAGGAUUAGAUACCCCAGU
This 230-nucleotide ribosomal RNA is filed under the name uncultured bacterium. Its description in RNAcentral is "partial 16S ribosomal RNA". It matches the Rfam family "Bacterial small subunit ribosomal RNA", at positions 562 to 791 of the family's 1533-position model. The record is from RNAcentral.